UACGUAGGGUGCAAGCGUUGUCCGGAAUUAUUGGGCGUAAAGAGUUCGUAGGCGGUUUGUCGCGUCCGUUGUGAAAGCUUGGGGCUCAACCCCAGGUCUGCAGUGGAUACGGGCAGGCUAGAGUCAGGUAGGGGAGAACGGAAUUCCUGGUGUAGCGGUGAAAUGCGCAGAUAUCAGGAGGAACACCAAUGGCGAAGGCAGCACUCUGGGACGUGACUGACGCUGAGACGCGAAAGCGUGGGGAGCAAACAGG
Molecule: ribosomal RNA, 253 nt
Filed under: uncultured bacterium
Lineage: Bacteria
Description: partial 16S ribosomal RNA
Rfam family: Bacterial small subunit ribosomal RNA
Source: RNAcentral